UGGACGAAAGUCUGAUGGAGCAACGCCGCGUGAGUGAAGAAGGGUUUCGGCUCGUAAAACUCUGUUGUUAAAGAAGAACAUAUCUGAGAGUAAACUGUUCAGGUACUUGACGGUAUUUAACCAGAAAGCCCACGGCUAACUACGUGCCAGCAGCCGCGGUAAUACGUAGGUGGCAAGCGUUGUCCGGAGUUAUUGGGCGUAAAGCGAGCGCAGGCGGUUUUAAGUCUGAUGUGAAAGCCUUCGGCUCAACCGAAGAAGUGCAUCGGAAACUGGGAAACUUGAGUGCAGAAGAGGACAGUGGAACUCCAUGUGUAGCGGUGAAAUGUGUAGAUAUAUGGAAGAACACCAGUGGCGAAGGCGGCUGUCUGGUCUGUAACUGACGCUGAGGCUCGAAAGUAUGGGUAGCAAACAGGAUUAGAUACCCUGGUAG
Molecule: ribosomal RNA, 430 nt
Filed under: uncultured bacterium
Lineage: Bacteria
Description: bacterial SSU rRNA
Rfam family: Bacterial small subunit ribosomal RNA
Source: RNAcentral